UUGCAUGGCUGUCGUCAGCUCGUGUCGUGAGAUGUUCGGUUAAGUCCGCUAACGAGCGCAACCCUCGCUGUGUGUUAUAUGUGUCACACGGGACUGCCGGUCUUAAGCCGGAGGAGGUGGGGAUGAUGUCAAGUCAGCAUGGCCUUUAUAUCCUGGGCUACACACACGCUACAAUGGCCAACACAAUAGGUUGCUAAGCCGCGAGGUGGCGCCAAUCCAUAAAGUUGGUCUCAGUUCAGAUUGUAGGCUGCAACCCGCCUGCAUGAAGAUGGAGUUGCUAGUAACCGCAGGUCAGCUAUACUGCGGUGAAUACGUUCCCGGGGCUU
Molecule: ribosomal RNA, 326 nt
Filed under: uncultured Leptolinea sp.
Lineage: Bacteria; Bacillati; Chloroflexota; Anaerolineae; Anaerolineales; Anaerolineaceae
Description: bacterial SSU rRNA
Rfam family: Bacterial small subunit ribosomal RNA
Source: RNAcentral